UAGAUAGAGUGAUCACUAAGGAUUAGGGACCUCAUGACUACGUAUAAUCAAGGCAAUCCAAGGGUAUCAGAACGUUCUUCAUGUAUUUCACAUGGCUCACCAGUUUAAAUUUUUUGAAAUUCCCUCCCCUGAGCUUGGCUUACGUCCGCCGCGCUAGGGUUGCCUUUGCCGGCAGCGGAGACCUAACACUCGAACAACCCACAUCAUCUCCUUCACCUUUCUUCCCUGAUUCCAAAUAGCACUAUAGAAUAGCCCGAAUGAUGCUCCAAAAUCCGAAUCGAAACGAAGUACCAAAGAACCCUAAGAUUUAUAUUCACAAUUAAAUUCUCCUAUUAUGGAAUAAAAGUCCUAGAGGUUAGGACUUUGAUUCCCCUAAACCUCCUUUACAUCAGGGUAACAAACAUGAAGCGAAAUGUUGAAAAAAGAUGAAGCAAAUCACGAGAGCAAACGUCGGAUUUCAGGUAAAGUGUUUUGAAACCUUUGAAUAUUUUCCUUCUCUUUGGUUCUUCUUAUUCUUAUUCCAAGGAAAUUCUUCUGUGAGCGAAUCAGAGAGAAGCUAAAAAGUGAAUUGAGACUGAAGAGGGAGUCUAGCUCGCGCAUGUUAAAGCUUCGAUAUGAAGCUUUAAUGGUUGUUGAAGAUGAUCUUUGAGUGAGGGUAGUGGAGAGAGAUUGUAGAGGUUCUGAGAGCAAAAUGUGUGUGUGUAAGUGUGUGUCUGAAGUGAUGGAAUGAGGGUGAAUAUGAGGCUAUAUAGGGAAGAGGUUCGGAUAAAAUGGUGGAUUCGAGUGAGGUUAGGAGUUAGUUAGGAGUGACUCACUGAGUUAACUGUAAAAUCAGUUAGUUACAUGCCUUGAACUCAGUGGAAAAAUUGGUUAAGUUAGUUAUGUAUUAGUAAAGUUUGAUUAGUUCAGUUCAGUGGAUGAUUGUUAAUUGUGAAUGUAAUGCUCAGUUAGAUGUUAAGUGAAUUAAAUGCAAAAAUCGAUUCAGUUAAAUGUUAGGCAUCUGGUGAAAUUUGAAUUUCUUGUUAACCAUUUAGUUACCAGGUCAGAUUCUAUCAUGGUUGAUGUUGAACCUGAAGGUGAAUCAUUAAACCUACACCCCUUAAAACCUCCCUGAUCAGUUUAACCAUUUUGCAUGUGAUGGUAAAUGGGACCAAGCUGCAUUCAGGUACCCCUGCAGUAGAAAAAGAAGGUCACUUCAUGAGAUACCUCUACUGAAAGCAAAUGGGUAAGCCUUGAAGGCAAUGGUCAUUCUACAGUUGCACCCUUUCACAUCAUCAAUCAGCAGCAGGUGGUGAAGCAAGGAGUUCUUACAAACUUUGAUUGAGAUUGAAUUUUGACCUUGAUGUAGGCAUGGUGGGCAAGAUUGCAAGUUGUCAUGCAAGGCAAGAAAAACAAGUUCAAGGCAUGAUGACCAAUUUGGCAAAACUUGAUCAACGGAGGAAGUGUGGCCAUGGAAUAUCUAGAAAUGAUGCAAUGAUGAAGAUGUGAUUAGUAUUAAGUUUUUAGGAUGAAAAGUGUGAUGGUUACUUUGGUCAACUGGUUGACCAAAAAGUUUAUAGUUGACCAAAAGUCAACUUUUGUGAAAAAUGAAAUUUUUUAUAUUUCUUUUGUAAUGAACAUUGUAUAUGUUAAUGAAUGAAUGAAUGGCCAAUUGUGUGAA
Molecule: long non-coding RNA, 1660 nt
Organism: Lathyrus oleraceus (garden pea)
Lineage: Eukaryota; Viridiplantae; Streptophyta; Magnoliopsida; Fabales; Fabaceae
Exons: 2
Source: RefSeq, a predicted model, not a curated record